Molecule: long non-coding RNA, 3816 nt
Organism: Mirounga angustirostris (Northern elephant seal)
Lineage: Eukaryota; Metazoa; Chordata; Mammalia; Carnivora; Phocidae
Exons: 9
Source: RefSeq, a predicted model, not a curated record
CCUCGCGUCUCCGCGGACUUGCGCCUCGGCCUCGGCGGCGCUGGCCCCGCCCCUCCGCUCCGCCUGCGUCGGCCCGCCCGGGGCGGGCCGGGGCGCGGGCCCAUCGGGCUGGCGCUCAGGGCAGCAGCCCGGCGCGCGCAGCAGCCAGCGGGGCCCCAGAGGAGGAGCGGGCCGCGAGGGGGUGCCUGUCUCUGCCUCCCCUCCGCGAAGGGAGCGGCGCGCGCCGCAGCCCGGCCCGAGAGGCCUCACCGCCCGCAGUGUUGCGCGCAGCCGGGACCUAGCGGCAGCCUGUGGUCCUAAAAGGCCCCACCCGAGCCGCGGGGCGCGGGGGUGCGGCUCGCGCUGCCCGCGGCUCCCGCCCCGGGUGGGGGGCGCUGCUGACCUGGCAGGGGCCGCGCUCCGGCUGCGCGGCCCCUUGCGCUCCCCUCCCACGGAGGCUGCAGCCUCGGGCGGCUUGCUUCCAGGGGACCCUCCCACAGGGGAGCAUUUCUUGUGCUGCUCACUCAGCGGGGAAGAUACCGUCACCAUGGUGGACUUCAGAACCCGUUUCCUCCCUUCCUGGAGCGGGGGUGCGGGGGGCCGGUGCGGGCGCAGCUGCAGACCACCGCCACUCCCUCGGAAGCUCGGAGAACAAAACCCGCGACAGUGACUGCGCCAACAGACUACCAACCCCCCGGGGGCUUGGCAGUCCACAUGCCACACUCCUACAUGCCCGUACUUAGGUGACAGCUUUUCCAGUCUUGGGCAUCCUGACCUUCUUCCCUCCCGGGCCCCUGCGCCUGUUCCAUUCCAGGUGGGGCUUCCUUUCAUCGUCUGGCAACUGGGAGGAGGAACAGGAGGCCCCUCCUCCGGCCUGCCCGGCAGUGAAGACCUCGGAGGUCAUCCUGGCCCAAGCGGUAGGGACGGCCUAACUCAGAAGCCCUGGCGCUCUGAACCUCACACCAAAACCCACCAUGGCUCAGGGGGCAGAAGGGUCCAGCCUUCCGUGGUCUGGGCCAUUUACGUCUGUCCUCAUUGCUCUUCUGGGGAGGCAGCUCUGCACAGACCCUGAUCCUGUGAUUCUGGAAGUGCUUCGCCAUCCACUGGUUUUUGGUUUGUCUUAUUUUUAACGCAGUAGAUCUUUCAUCUUUCCUGAGCCAGUCUUUUUCAGAUGUGAUGGGAGCCACAGAAAGCUCCGCAGACACACGUCCACGCAUGUCCACACACACUGAUCCGUUCGCCUGGGAUUAACUCUCCGCGUGGGUCAGGGGUUCUGACCACUCGCUCUAAGUGUUCAGUGAAAGCCUGAGGAAGACCAGAGGACUGGAUCAGAGGCUAAGGCAACGGAAAAACCUGCAAGAACCAGGAAAGGCUUUACAGGUCUGAGAAUGCGACAGCAUGUACAGAGGGCAGCGGGGAGGGGAAGAGACUGGAGGCAAGGAGGCGUCUUGGAGACCUCGCGGAGAUUUGCGAGGGAAGGAGAUGAGCCCGAUGGUAACGGGGAUGCACAGACGUGACCACUUGUGCAGCUGAGUCGCCGGAGCGAGGCCAGUGGUGUGCGGCCAGUCCGCGCAGCUGUUCUGUCUUCAGUCACCAGAUGCUGGCAGGAUUAAAAGAGCAAGGACACGCAGUAUUUCUUCCACUUUCCUCUCGACACCUUGCACCUACCCAGAUGGAAGCAGACCUUCUGCGACCUGUGGCAGGGAGUGGAAUUCUGGUGACUCUGCCCAGAGCAGUGAUCUUGGAGCUACUUGGACGGCCUGUGUACCUCCUCACUGGCACUCGCGUUUCCAGCGAGCCCAUGCGGAUGGCCACUGACGUGACGGCCACAGCUGGUCACCAAGCACAGAGAUGCACCUCGUGCAGGAUUUUGCAGAACCUAAGAUAUUUCAUAUCAACACUAAUUCCAUCUGUUGUGCGUGACAGGAAAUGGUCAGUUCUACAGUGUUUCAGGAACACACCCGAUGGGCGCAGUGAGAGCAACUCUGAACGUCUGGGACGGUGGCCUCUGAUGCGCUCCCACAGGAAGUGUUGAAGGACUGGACGUGGAACGGAGCAGGAUGUGACUGGAUGUGACUGAUGGAAAAAAGGCCCCUGAGAGGACGCCCACGUAACUUUUAACCUUCUGAAAGUAAAAGGAGUACAGAACAGGCGUAACUCUGGAAAAGAAAAUGCUACAGCACGGUGUCCACAACUACCCACUAACUCGGGCACACCUGCAGAACACAUACAGUCCUGACACCCGUGGGAGCUGCCUCCAAAGGAUAUGAGUCAUAGUCCAGUGUUUGUGUGAGCACUCCAGUUAGAACAAACUCCGCGUUGUGCACGUCUGAAAGGGACAAAACGAGCUCAAGGGGUGCUGUGUCUACACGCGCUUCGAUCAAGGGCAAGAGCAGUGGGACUUGACUUACCUAUUCCUCUGGCAAAAUAUUCUCGACAUAAGUGCAGGUCAUUUUCACAGGAUAUUAAAAUUAUUUCUGACAAACUCUAAGGAAAAGAAAAUGAGUUCAUCGGUUACUGAACAAGGAAUCUCAUCGGGCACAGUGAUGAAUCAGCAGCCUGUUUUCCUUCUAUCCACCUUAUUUUGCUUGUGCUCCACGAGCUUCCGGAAAGACGGCUGUUUAGACAACACUCGUCCUCCUGCACACUCCACAAUCGCCUUCAUGGUUGAGAGACUUGGGCAGAUUCCAGAAGUCCCAGCCCUUGCAGGUCCCCAACCUGAAGUGGGCCUGGAGGAAGCCAGGAUGCCGAUCUGAGCUAACUGAAGCAUUUUCCCAAGUCAGGUAAGACCCGGGAUGAGUCAAAGUAACUGGAACUCCUGUCCCUAAGAGACAUGAAGGAUUCUGUGGGGUCAGUGAGAACACUACUCCAUCCGCCUCGCUGUGUCAAGCAAGAGACCCCUCUCUUUCAGAUCUGUGUGUUCCCUGGGCUCUGACCAGGAGAUGAUCCUGAUGGCUAAGAUGUAACUUUCUAACGCCUGUUCUCUGAAGUGCACAAGAUACUAUUUUUUUUUAAACCACUCACAGAAAAAGAACAUUUAGAAAAUUCAGACUAUUUUAGUUUCAAAUGCCCCCAGCAUGGAGCGUGGUGCCGCGGUGCCCCCCAGGGAAGAGGCUGUGCUGUGCCGUGGGGACAAAGCACGAGUUACGACGGCUCCACUCAGGCUCAGCUAUGCCGGCUACAGCCAGCCAGGUCGUCAGUGGGAAGGAGCAAGGAGAGGUAUUAAUAGUGUCUUUAAACAGAGGCACAUAGCCAACAGGGUUUUCCAGAGCCUACGAGGGUAGGUAUCGAUUAGCUGAUGAAAAUGUGACCAGGGCUUGGGGAACCCAGCCCAGAGUUUCCUCUGGGAGCAGUGGCUCAGUGUUCACGAAUUUGGGGUCUGUGGCUACUCUGUAGAACAUGUAAUUACCAUGAAUAACAAGAAUUGGCUAUAUUAUUGUAAUUGAGAAUUUAUUAUUGAUUUUCAUAUAAAGGAUUCUUUCCUAUGAUUGACGUGGAUAUACAAUCAUGGAAUUUUAAGUUUGGUUCUAGCUUUGCUAUAAGUAAGAAGAUAACUUAUUUUUCUGGAUCGUAAUUUCUCAUCUGUAUAUUAGACUACAUGAACUUUAAAAUAUAUAUGCUUUUUAUUAAUUGUUUUACAUUAAAGACCGAAUUAGGUUUAAACACCAGUGUCCAAGAAAAUAACAUGGAUCUGAAAUGCUUCAAUUUAACAUUAACAACCACUUGCCCCUGUUAGGGACAAAUAUGGUUAGCUUCAUGGGUCAGAACAGUGCGAGGCCAGUGGGGACCAGGAGGGUCUCUGGGGGUCUGGUGGACCCAUAUCAUCCUACAGCUCCA